CACUCACGUUGGAACGACCGAGUGCACCAAACGCUCCGGCGCUGCAGGAUGUGGCUGCGGCCGAUUAGGUAGACGGUGGGGUAACGGCCCACCGUGCCGAUAAUCGGUACGGGUUGUGAGAGCAAGAGCCCGGAGACGGAAUCUGAGACAAGAUUCCGGGCCCUACGGGGCGCAGCAGGCGCGAAACCUUUACACUGCACGACAGUGCGAUAAGGGGACCCCAAGUGCGAGGGCAUACAGUCCUCGCUUUUGUGUACCGUAAGGUGGUACACGAAUAAGAGCUGGGCAAGACCGGUGCCAGCCGCCGCGGUAAUACCGGCAGCUCGAGUGAUGACCGAUUUUAUUGGGCCUAAAGCGUCCGUAGCUGGCCGCGUAGGUUCGUCGGGAAAUCCAUCCGCUCAACGGAUGGGCGUCCGGCGAAAACCACGUGGCUUGGGACCGGAAGGCUCGAGGGGUACGUCCGGGGUAGGAGUGAAAUCCCGUAAUCCUGGACGGACCGCCGAUGGCGAAAGCACCUCGAGAAGACGGAUCCGACAGUGAGGGACGAAAGCUGGGGUCUCGAACCGGAUUAGAUACCCGGGUAGUCCCAGCCGUAAACAAUGCCAAUUAGGUGUGGCACCGACUACGAGUCGGUGCUGUGCCGUAGGGAAGCCGAUAAAUUGGCCGCCUGGGAAGUACGUCCGCAAGGAUGAAACUUAAAGGAAUUGGCGGGGGAGCACUACAACCGGAGGAGCCUGCGGUUUAAUUGGACUCAACGCCGGACAUCUCACCAGCAUCGACUGUAGCAAUGAUCAUCAGGUUGAUGACCUCUAUGUUGAGCUACAGAGAGGAGGUGCAUGGCCGCCGUCAGCUCGUACCGUGAGGCGUCCUGUUAAGUCAGGCAACGAGCGAGACCCGCACUCUUAAUUGCCAGCAUCGCGUUCGCGCGGAUGGGUACAUUAGGAGGACUGCCGCUGCUAAAGCGGAGGAAGGAACGGGCAACGGUAGGUCAGUAUGCCCCGAAUGUGCUGGGCUACACGCGGGCUACAAUGGCCGAGACAAUGGGUUCCUACCUCGAAAGAGGAUGGUAAUCUCAGAAACUCGGUCGUAGUUCGGAUUGAGGGUUGAAACUCACCCUCAUGAAGCUGGAUUCGGUAG
This 1137-nucleotide ribosomal RNA is filed under the name Halogranum sp. KeN-04. Its description in RNAcentral is "bacterial SSU rRNA". It matches the Rfam family "Archaeal small subunit ribosomal RNA", at positions 162 to 1294 of the family's 1478-position model. Lineage: Archaea; Methanobacteriati; Methanobacteriota; Halobacteria; Halobacteriales; Haloferacaceae. The record is from RNAcentral.